UCAUCUCGACAAUAGCUUAUUAGUAUAUACUUAUAUUUUUCUUUAUAAUGCUUUAAAAUGGUGGGGGAAUUCCAGUUUCUCAAAGGGGUCUGCUUCCUUGAAUCAUUUAAAAAGAAACUGGCUCAGAGUUUAACAUAAAAAAUAAAAUAUCAUAGAAGGGAAAAGAUUUGCAAUAAAUAUGGAAAUUAAGAGUCAAUAAGAAUCUUAAUUCUCGAUUCAGAAAAUUCUGAAGAUCCAAACUUAUUAUGUUUAUCGGGAGUCACAUAGAUAGAUAAUGCAUAGGUAGGUAUGAAGCUCAUAAGAUACUGUGCUAUGCAUUGAAUAAAUGGAAUUGUAGGAAGAGAGGAGAGUAGCAGUGAAUUGCAUUAAAUAGGAAAGCCUGCACAGUCAUAUAGGAGAAUUUAAUGAGGGAAUCUUUGUCUGAGCCUAAGUUAUAGCAGUCAUUCUUGUAAUUAAAUGCCUCCUCA
This 467-nucleotide long non-coding RNA is filed under the name Ricinus communis (castor bean). RNAcentral's name for it is "long non-coding RNA (RCOM_LNC000103)". The record is from RNAcentral. Lineage: Eukaryota; Viridiplantae; Streptophyta; Magnoliopsida; Malpighiales; Euphorbiaceae.